GGGAAAGUGGCUCAGUGGUAGAAUGCUUGCCUUGCAUGCAAGAGGCCCUGGGUUCGAUUCCUCAGUACCA
Molecule: transfer RNA, 70 nt
Filed under: Dipodomys ordii (Ord's kangaroo rat)
Lineage: Eukaryota; Metazoa; Chordata; Mammalia; Rodentia; Heteromyidae
Rfam family: tRNA
About the family: Transfer RNA (tRNA) molecules are approximately 80 nucleotides in length. Their secondary structure includes four short double-helical elements and three loops (D, anti-codon, and T loops).
Source: Rfam by way of RNAcentral